This is a non-coding RNA of Gossypium raimondii (Peruvian cotton), 72 nucleotides long. Lineage: Eukaryota; Viridiplantae; Streptophyta; Magnoliopsida; Malvales; Malvaceae. The record is from Rfam.
GGCGACAUGGUCGAGCGGUAAGGCGGGGGAUUGCAAAUCCCCUAUUCCCUAGUUCAAAUCCAAGUGUCACCU